This 652-nucleotide ribosomal RNA is filed under the name Chaetophoropsis elegans. RNAcentral's name for it is "partial 23S ribosomal RNA". It matches the Rfam family "Bacterial large subunit ribosomal RNA", at positions 2098 to 2465 of the family's 2925-position model. Lineage: Eukaryota; Viridiplantae; Chlorophyta; Chlorophyceae; Chaetophorales; Chaetophoraceae. The record is from RNAcentral.
GCUUGACUGUAGUUUGGAACAGGGUUCGGGCUUUUCUUGCGCAGCCUAGGUGGGAGGCAUUGAGGAUUUCUUUUCGGGGAAAUCGGAGCCAUCAUUGAGAGACCACUCUGGAAGAGCUAGAAUCCUAAUGGCGUUCCUUGAAUCAGGACGCUUGACAGUUUCAGAUGGGCAGUUUUCUUGGGGCGAGAUUCUUAGUUAUGGGAUGCUUGAAAAAGUAAAAAUUAUCCAUUUUCAAGUAGAAUUUGACUAUAUGCUGGAAUGUUUCUAUGUUAAUUAUUGUGGGGAAUAAAGCUCGCCUUUUUCCGUUACCGACUACAACUCUUAAACAUAAGAAAUUUUACAAAUUUCUGAAACUAAUCAGCAGGGAAACAACAAGAGUUGUUGUGACCUUCAAAGACUUUACGUCAAACUUUUAAGUUAUGUUUAAUUUUAAAAGAUGAUAAAGUCUAACCUACUAAUAUUAUUAAGUAGGUUGCCUAAAAGGUAACGGAGAAGCGCAAUGGUCCCCUCAACCUGGACGGAAAUCAGGCUUUGAGUGCAAAGGCAUAAGGGGGCUUGACUGCAAGACCUACAAGUCGAGCAGGGGCGAAAGCCGGCCUUAGUGAUCCGACGGUGCCGUGUGGAAGGGCCGUCGCUCAACGGAUAAAAGUUA